RNAcentral lists this ribosomal RNA (422 nucleotides) under uncultured bacterium. Its description in RNAcentral is "partial 16S ribosomal RNA". It matches the Rfam family "Bacterial small subunit ribosomal RNA", at positions 360 to 774 of the family's 1533-position model. The record is from RNAcentral.
AAUUUUGGACAAUGGGUGAAACCCUGAUCCAGCCAUUCCGCGUGUAUGAUGAAGGCCUUCGAGUUGUAAAGUACUUUUGGCAGAGAAGACAAUGCAUCCCCUAAUACGGGAUGCUGAUGACGGUAUCUGCAUAAUAAGCACCGUCUAACUACUUGCCAGCAGCCGCGGUAAUCCGUACGGUACAAGCGUUAAUCGGAAUUAAUGGGCGUAAAGCGUGUGUAGGCGGUUCGGAAAGAAAGAUGUGAAAUCCCAGGGCUCAACCUUGGAACUGCAUUUUUAACUGCCGAGCUAGAGUAUGUCAGAGGGGGGUAGAAUUCCACGUGUAGCAGUGAAAUGCGUAGAUAUGUGGAGGAAUACCGAUGGCGAAGGCAGCCCCCUGGGAUAAUACUGACGCUCAGACACGAAAGCGUGGGGAGCAAACA